Molecule: ribosomal RNA, 3056 nt
Filed under: Campylobacter jejuni
Lineage: Bacteria; Pseudomonadati; Campylobacterota; Epsilonproteobacteria; Campylobacterales; Campylobacteraceae
Description: 23S ribosomal RNA
Rfam family: Bacterial large subunit ribosomal RNA
Source: RNAcentral
AGGUAAGCUACUAAGAGCGAAUGGUGGAUGCCUUGACUGGUAAAGGCGAUGAAGGACGUACUAGACUGCGAUAAGCUACGGGGAGCUGUCAAGAAGCUUUGAUCCGUAGAUUUCCGAAUGGGGCAACCCAAUGUAUAGAGAUAUACAUUACCUAUAUAGGAGCGAACGAGGGGAAUUGAAACAUCUUAGUACCCUCAGGAAAAGAAAUCAAUAGAGAUUGCGUCAGUAGCGGCGAGCGAAAGCGCAAGAGGGCAAACCCAGUGCUUGCACUGGGGGUUGUAGGACUGCAAUGUGCAAGAGGUAAGUUUAGCAGAACAUUCUGGAAAGUAUAACCAUAGAGGGUGAUAGUCCCGUAUGCGAAAAACAAACCUUAGCUAGCAGUAUCCUGAGUAGGGCGGGACACGAGGAAUCCUGUCUGAAUCCGGGUCGACCACGAUCCAACCCUAAAUACUAAUACCAGAUCGAUAGUGCACAAGUACCGUGAGGGAAAGGUGAAAAGAACUGAGGUGAUCAGAGUGAAAUAGAACCUGAAACCAUUUGCUUACAAUCAUUCAGAGCCCUAUGUAGCAAUACAGGGUGAUGGACUGCCUUUUGCAUAAUGAGCCUGCGAGUUGUGGUGUCUGGCAAGGUUAAGCAAACGCGAAGCCGUAGCGAAAGCGAGUCUGAAUAGGGCGCUUAGUCAGAUGCUGCAGACCCGAAACGAAGUGAUCUAUCCAUGAGCAAGUUGAAGCUAGUGUAAGAACUAGUGGAGGACUGAACCCAUAGGCGUUGAAAAGCCCCGGGAUGACUUGUGGAUAGGGGUGAAAGGCCAAUCAAACUUCGUGAUAGCUGGUUCUCUCCGAAAUAUAUUUAGGUAUAGCGUUGUGUCGUAAUAUAAGGGGGUAGAGCACUGAAUGGGCUAGGGCAUACACCAAUGUACCAAACCCUAUCAAACUCCGAAUACCUUAUAUGUAAUCACAGCAGUCAGGCGGCGAGUGAUAAAAUCCGUCGUCAAGAGGGAAACAACCCAGACUACCAGCUAAGGUCCCUAAAUCUUACUUAAGUGGAAAACGAUGUGAAGUUACUUAAACAACCAGGAGGUUGGCUUAGAAGCAGCCAUCCUUUAAAGAAAGCGUAAUAGCUCACUGGUCUAGUGAUUUUGCGCGGAAAAUAUAACGGGGCUAAAGUAAGUACCGAAGCUGUAGACUUGCACACAACUUAGAUUAUUUAAGUUUAGAAUAUGAGAAACUAAGUUAUAUGUUUAGUUAUAUUUUUACUGAUUUUUAUAGAGUAAAGAUAGAAAUAAAACUUAGUAAAAUCAGUAAAAAUAUUCUUAGGCUAAAGUUAAGUAGUUUAAGUUGUGUGCAAGUGGUAGGAGAGCGUUCUAUUUGCGUCGAAGGUAUACCGGUAAGGAGUGCUGGAGCGAAUAGAAGUGAGCAUGCAGGCAUGAGUAGCGAUAAUUAAUGUGAGAAUCAUUAACGCCGUAAACCCAAGGUUUCCUACGCGAUGCUCGUCAUCGUAGGGUUAGUCGGGUCCUAAGUCGAGUCCGAAAGGGGUAGACGAUGGCAAAUUGGUUAAUAUUCCAAUACCAACAUUAGUGUGCGAUGGAAGGACGCUUAGGGCUAAGGGGGCUAGCGGAUGGAAGUGCUAGUCUAAGGUCGUAGGAGGUUAUACAGGCAAAUCCGUAUAACAAUACUCCGAGAACUGAAAGGCUUUUUGAAGUCUUCGGAUGGAUAGAAGAACCCCUGAUGCCGUCGAGCCAAGAAAAGUUUCUAAGUUUAGCUAAUGUUGCCCGUACCGUAAACCGACACAGGUGGGUGGGAUGAGUAUUCUAAGGCGCGUGGAAGAACUCUCUUUAAGGAACUCUGCAAAAUAGCACCGUAUCUUCGGUAUAAGGUGUGGUUAGCUUCGUACUAGGAUUUACUCCGAAAGCGAAGAAACUUACAACAAAGAGUCCCUCCCGACUGUUUACCAAAAACACAGCACUCUGCUAACUCGUAAGAGGAUGUAUAGGGUGUGACGCCUGCCCGGUGCUCGAAGGUUAAUUGAUGGGGUUAGCAUUAGCGAAGCUCUUGAUCGAAGCCCGAGUAAACGGCGGCCGUAACUAUAACGGUCCUAAGGUAGCGAAAUUCCUUGUCGGUUAAAUACCGACCUGCAUGAAUGGCGUAACGAGAUGGGAGCUGUCUCAAAGAGGGAUCCAGUGAAAUUGUAGUGGAGGUGAAAAUUCCUCCUACCCGCGGCAAGACGGAAAGACCCCGUGGACCUUUACUACAGCUUGACACUGCUACUUGGAUAAGAAUGUGCAGGAUAGGUGGGAGGCUUUGAGUAUAUGACGCCAGUUGUAUAUGAGCCAUUGUUGAGAUACCACUCUUUCUUAUUUGGGUAGCUAACCAGCUUGAGUUAUCCUCAAGUGGGACAAUGUCUGGUGGGUAGUUUGACUGGGGCGGUCGCCUCCCAAAUAAUAACGGAGGCUUACAAAGGUUGGCUCAGAACGGUUGGAAAUCGUUCGUAGAGUAUAAAGGUAUAAGCCAGCUUAACUGCAAGACAUACAAGUCAAGCAGAGACGAAAGUCGGUCUUAGUGAUCCGGUGGUUCUGUGUGGAAGGGCCAUCGCUCAAAGGAUAAAAGGUACCCCGGGGAUAACAGGCUGAUCUCCCCCAAGAGCUCACAUCGACGGGGAGGUUUGGCACCUCGAUGUCGGCUCAUCGCAUCCUGGGGCUGGAGCAGGUCCCAAGGGUAUGGCUGUUCGCCAUUUAAAGCGGUACGCGAGCUGGGUUCAGAACGUCGUGAGACAGUUCGGUCCCUAUCUGCCGUGGGCGUAAGAAGAUUGAAGAGAUUUGACCCUAGUACGAGAGGACCGGGUUGAACAAACCACUGGUGUAGCUGUUGUUCUGCCAAGAGCAUCGCAGCGUAGCUAAGUUUGGAAAGGAUAAACGCUGAAAGCAUCUAAGCGUGAAGCCAACUCUAAGAUGAAUCUUCUCUAAGCUCUCUAGAAGACUACUAGUUUGAUAGGCUGGGUGUGUAAUGGAUGAAAGUCCUUUAGCUGACCAGUACUAAUAGAGCGUUUGGCUUAUCUUU